AUUGAACGCUGGCGGCAGGCCUAACACAUGCAAGUCGAGCGGAUGAAGGGUGCUUGCUCCUGGAUUCAGCGGCGGACGGGUGAGUAAUGCCUAGGAAUCUGCCUGGUAGUGGGGGAUAACGUCCGGAAACGGGCGCUAAUACCGCAUACGUCCUGAGGGAGAAAGUGGGGGAUCUUCGGACCUCACGCUAUCAGAUGAGCCUAGGUCGGAUUAGCUAGUUGGUGGGGUAAAGGCCUACCAAGGCGACGAUCCGUAACUGGUCUGAGAGGAUGAUCAGUCACACUGGAACUGAGACGCGGUCCAGAGUCCUAGGGGAGGCAGCAGUGGGGAAUGUUGGACAAUGGGCGGAAGCCUGAUCCAGCGGUGCCGCGUGUGUGCAGAAGGUCUUCGGAUUGUAAAGCACUUUAAGUGGGGAGGAAGGGCAGUAAGUUGAUACCUUGCUGUUUUGACGGUACCAACAGAAUAAGCACCGGCUAACUACGUG
This 484-nucleotide ribosomal RNA is filed under the name uncultured bacterium. RNAcentral describes it as "partial 16S ribosomal RNA". It matches the Rfam family "Bacterial small subunit ribosomal RNA", at positions 30 to 507 of the family's 1533-position model. The record is from RNAcentral.